UAUUUGUUUGAUCUCCGCCUUCCUCUAUCGUUCCUUAGAGCGCAGUCUAACUUUAAGUAUCAGAAAGCCCGAUUGGAUUAGCUCCGGCCAUCUUUAAGUUCUGUUUCUUUUCGUGUGCAAGACAACAGUCAUUGCCCAAAUCUUCUUUCCUUCCGAGCAUAGAUCCGUUAGCAGCCUCGUGUCCAUCAAAUCGGAUUUUAGGGCAAUGGAUUAGCAAUUUCUAAAGAAAAGAAAAGAAAAAAAACAAUUUCUAA
RNAcentral lists this long non-coding RNA (254 nucleotides) under Phoenix dactylifera (date palm). RNAcentral describes it as "long non-coding RNA (PDAC_LNC002868)". The record is from RNAcentral. Lineage: Eukaryota; Viridiplantae; Streptophyta; Magnoliopsida; Arecales; Arecaceae.